AGGACGAACGCUGGCGGCGUGCCUCAUACAUGCAAGUGGAGCGACGAACCAGGAUUUAUCCUGGGGCAAAGCCGCGAACGGGUGAGUAACACGUGGGUUACCUGCCCCGAUGAUUGGGACAACCCGAGGAAACUCGGGCUAAUACCAAAUGUGUUCUUGGUCGUGAUGACCAAGAAGAAAGGAAGCCUCGGCCUCCGCAUCGGGAUGGGCCCGCGGCCCAUUAGCUAGUUGGUGGGGUAAUGGCCUACCAAGGCGACGAUGGGUAGCUGGUCUGAGAGGACGAUCAGCCACACUGGGACUGAGACACGGCCCAGACUCCUACGGGAGGCAGCAGUCGAGAAUUUUUUCACAAUGGACGAAAGUCUGAUGGAGCGACGCCGCGUGGAGGAUGAAGGUUUUCGGAUUGUAAACUCCUGUCACUGCAGAACAAGGGUGCGUUUAUGAAUAGUAAAUGCAUUUGAUGGUAUGCGGAGAGGAAGGGACGGCUAACGUCUGUG
This 497-nucleotide ribosomal RNA is filed under the name uncultured bacterium. RNAcentral describes it as "SSU rRNA". It matches the Rfam family "Bacterial small subunit ribosomal RNA", at positions 26 to 507 of the family's 1533-position model. The record is from RNAcentral.